CUACGGGGGGCACCAGUUAGGAAUAAUCUACAAUGCGCGCAAGCGUGAUAGUUUGAGCCAGAGUGCGUCUCAAAAUGGGACGCUUUUGUGAAAUGUAAAAAGUUUCACGAAUAAGGACUGGGUAAGACGAGUGCCAGCCGCCGCGGUAAUACUCGCGGUCCAAGUCGCAGCCAUUUUUAUUGGGUCUAAAACAUCCGUAGCUUGCUAGGUAAGUUUCUUGUGAAAUCUUAUGUCUUAAACAUGGGGCGUGCAAGAAGUACUGCUUAGCUAGAGACCGGAAGACGUAGGAAGUACGUUCAAAGUAGCGGUUAAAUGUGUUAAUCUUGAACGGACUCACAACAGCGAAGGCAUCCUACGAGGACGGUUCUGACAGUAAGGGAUGAAGGCUAGGGGCGCAAAGCGGAUUAGAUACCCGGGUAGUC
RNAcentral lists this ribosomal RNA (422 nucleotides) under uncultured archaeon. Its description in RNAcentral is "partial 16S ribosomal RNA". It matches the Rfam family "Archaeal small subunit ribosomal RNA", at positions 323 to 746 of the family's 1478-position model. The record is from RNAcentral.